RNAcentral lists this ribosomal RNA (897 nucleotides) under Bacillus subtilis. RNAcentral's name for it is "bacterial SSU rRNA". It matches the Rfam family "Bacterial small subunit ribosomal RNA", at positions 60 to 935 of the family's 1533-position model. The record is from RNAcentral. Lineage: Bacteria; Bacillati; Bacillota; Bacilli; Caryophanales; Bacillaceae.
AGUCGAGCGGACAGAUGGGAGCUUGCUCCCUGAUGUUAGCGGCGGACGGGUGAGUAACACGUGGGUAACCUGCCUGUAAGACUGGGAUAACUCCGGGAAACCGGGGCUAAUACCGGAUGGUUGUUUGAACCGCAUGGUUCAAACAUAAAAGGUGGCUUCGGCUACCACUUACAGAUGGACCCGCGGCGCAUUAGCUAGUUGGUGAGGUAACGGCUCACCAAGGCAACGAUGCGUAGCCGACCUGAGAGGGUGAUCGGCCACACUGGGACUGAGACACGGCCCAGACUCCUACGGGAGGCAGCAGUAGGGAAUCUUCCGCAAUGGACGAAAGUCUGACGGAGCAACGCCGCGUGAGUGAUGAAGGUUUUCGGAUCGUAAAGCUCUGUUGUUAGGGAAGAACAAGUACCGUUCGAAUAGGGCGGUACCUUGACGGUACCUAACCAGAAAGCCACGGCUAACUACGUGCCAGCAGCCGCGGUAAUACGUAGGUGGCAAGCGUUGUCCGGAAUUAUUGGGCGUAAAGGGCUCGCAGGCGGUUUCUUAAGUCUGAUGUGAAAGCCCCCGGCUCAACCGGGGAGGGUCAUUGGAAACUGGGGAACUUGAGUGCAGAAGAGGAGAGUGGAAUUCCACGUGUAGCGGUGAAAUGCGUAGAGAUGUGGAGGAACACCAGUGGCGAAGGCGACUCUCUGGUCUGUAACUGACGCUGAGGAGCGAAAGCGUGGGGAGCGAACAGGAUUAGAUACCCUGGGUAGUCCACGCCGUAAAACGAUGAGUGCUAAGUGUUAGGGGGUUUCCGCCCCUUAGUGCUGCAGCUAACGCAUUAAGCACUCCGCCUGGGGAGUACGGUCGCAAGACUGAAACUCAAAGGAAAUUGACGGGGGCCCGCACAAGCGGUGG